GUGCUGCCUAACUCAUGAACUGUUGAAUGAAGCCAAUAAGGGAACACGGGCUCGAUCCCUGGUCCAGAAGAUUCCACAUGCUGUGGACCAGCUAAGCCCGUGUGCCCUAACCACUGAGUCUUCAUGCUGCAGCUACUGAAGCCUGCGCUCCACAAAAAGAGAAGCCAGUGCAAUGAGAAGCCCAUGCACUUCAACUAGAGAGGAGCCCUCCGCUGGCACAGCUAGAGAAAGCCUGUGUGCAGCAGCGAAGACCCAGUGCAACCAAAAACAAAUUUGUAAAAACCCUGAAAG
Molecule: long non-coding RNA, 291 nt
Organism: Bos taurus (domestic cattle)
Lineage: Eukaryota; Metazoa; Chordata; Mammalia; Artiodactyla; Bovidae
Source: Ensembl